AGCGAUUUCAGCUCUUUUAGAAUUUUUCUAGCAGGUUUCCUGAGUUUGUUUGGAAAAUCCAA
RNAcentral lists this small nuclear RNA (62 nucleotides) under Mus pahari (shrew mouse). RNAcentral's name for it is "predicted gene, 26482 (MGP_PahariEiJ_G0033105.1)". It matches the Rfam family "U7 small nuclear RNA". From Rfam's summary of the family: Animal histone pre-mRNAs are spliced by a different mechanism than nuclear pre-mRNAs and self-splicing introns. This processing involves the U7 snRNP, which contains only one RNA species: U7. Lineage: Eukaryota; Metazoa; Chordata; Mammalia; Rodentia; Muridae. The record is from RNAcentral.